AUGGACAAGAAAUGCAGCAGAGAGGAGUCGAGCUGGCUGGAGGUUGAGGAGGCCUCGCCUUGCACAGGGAAGAAGGCGGACAAGGCGUCCAUCGCCAACCCCAGGCGAUGGAGCUCUGGGGCGAAUGCCGUGGCGGUGGCCUUGAUCAUGACAAUCCCGCCCAUCCUUUUCAUCUUCAGUGGCCACCUCGACGCGCCGGCGGUGUGGAUCAAAUCUACCGUGGCCGGAUUAGGAGCGCGAGGAGCAGAAUCAUCCAAGAAGAAAGACGUGCUUCUGGGGGGCCUUCUCCUUUCAGGAUUCGACCAACAAUCAUGCGCCAGCCGCUACCAGUCCGUGUACUACCGCAAGAACAUGACACGCUCGCCGACGCCGUAUCUCAUCGACCGGCUGCGGCGGCAGGAGGCGCUGCAGCGGCGCUGCGGUCCGGGCACCGACGCGUACCGGAGAGCCUCCGACAGGCUGAAAUCCGGGCAGAAAAACGUCGACACCGUCGACGGCUGCAGCUACCUCGUGCUGCUGUCUUACCGGGGCCUCGGCAACCGGAUACUCGCCGCGGCCUCGGCCUUCCUCUACGCCAUGCUAACCGACCGCGUGCUGCUCGUCGACCGGGGAAAGACCAUGGGCGACCUCUUCUGCGAGCCGUUCCCGGGGACGACGUGGCUGCUGCCCCUCGACUUCCCGCUCCAGGGCUACAAGGACCUGGGCGAGGACGCGGCGGAGAGCUACGGCAACGUGACGACGCUGCGCAACGAGACCGGCGAGUCGUCGGAGCACCGCUUCGUGUACAUGCACCUCGACCACGCCGCGUCCGUCGAGAACAAGCUCGCCUACUGCGACGACCACCGGCAGUUCCUCCACCGGGUCCAGUGGGUGGUCAUGAGGACGGACGGCUACAUUGCGCCAGUCCUCUUCCUCAACCCGGCGUACAAGCAGGAGCUCCACCGGAUGUUCCCCCGGAAAGACUCCGUCUUCUACAUCGUCUCGAGGUAUCUUCUCCACCCGACCAACGACGUCUGGGGCAUGGUCACCCGGUUCUACGACUCCUACCUCAAGGGCGCCGACGAGCGGCUGGGCAUUCAGAUCAGGGUCUUUGUCAAGGACGACAAGCCGGUCCAGCACAUCUUGGAUCAGAUCCUCGCGUGCACCUCUCAAGAGCGUCUCCUGCCGGGGGUGCUGCCGAGCGUGGGAGGAUCACGAUCAGGAGAAGCACUACGCCCGCCGCCGACGACGACGGCCGGCGCGCGGUCCAAGGCCGUCCUCGUGACGGGCCUCAACGGGUGGUACCACGACAGCAUCCGGGAGAUGUACUGGCGGUCGGCGAGCGCGAACGGGGAGGUGGUGAGCGUGCACCAGCCGAGCCGCGAGGAGCACCAGCGUAUGUUCCACCGGAUGCAAGACAUGAAGGCGCUGGCGGAGAUGUACCUGCUGAGCAUGACCGACAAGAUCGUCACCAGCGGCUGGUCCACGUUCGGGUACGUCGGCACCGCUCUCGGCGGGCUCACGCCAUACAUCAUGAUCAAGCCGGAGAACGAGGAGGUGCCCGACCCGCCGUGCAAACGGGCCAUGUCCAUGGAGCCGUGUGCUCAGGGGCCGCCGUACUUCGAGUGCACCAGGAAAGAGGUCGACAAACUCCUCGACACGGGUAAUCUGGUGCCUCAUGUCCGGGCCUGCGAAGACAUGUCUUGGGGUCUGAAGCUCACUGAGCCGAUCUCCGAGAAGGAUGUGUAG
Molecule: ribosomal RNA, 1728 nt
Filed under: Triticum aestivum (bread wheat)
Lineage: Eukaryota; Viridiplantae; Streptophyta; Magnoliopsida; Poales; Poaceae
Description: partial small subunit ribosomal RNA
Source: RNAcentral